This 1080-nucleotide ribosomal RNA is filed under the name Leuconostoc citreum. RNAcentral describes it as "bacterial SSU rRNA". It matches the Rfam family "Bacterial small subunit ribosomal RNA", at positions 388 to 1459 of the family's 1533-position model. The record is from RNAcentral. Lineage: Bacteria; Bacillati; Bacillota; Bacilli; Lactobacillales; Lactobacillaceae.
GGAACAACGCCGCGUGUGUGAUGAAGGCUUUCGGGUCCAUACAGCACUGUUGUAUGGGAAGAAAUGCUAAAAUAGGGAAUGAUUUUAGUUUGACGGUACCAUACCAGAAAGGGACGGCUAAAUACGUGCCAGCAGCCGCGGUAAUACGUAUGUCCCGAGCGUUAUCCGGAUUUAUUGGGCGUAAAGCGAGCGCAGACGGUUGAUUAAGUCUGAUGUGAAAGCCCGGAGCUCAACUCCGGAAUGGCAUUGGAAACUGGUUAACUUGAGUGUUGUAGAGGUAAGUGGAACUCCAUGUGUAGCGGUGGAAUGCGUAGAUAUAUGGAAGAACACCAGUGGCGAAGGCGGCUUACUGGACAACAACUGACGUUGAGGCUCGAAAGUGUGGGUAGCAAACAGGAUUAGAUACCCUGGUAGUCCACACCGUAAACGAUGAAUACUAGGUGUUAGGAGGUUUCCGCCUCUUAGUGCCGAAGCUAACGCAUUAAGUAUUCCGCCUGGGGAGUACGACCGCAAGGUUGAAACUCAAAGGAAUUGACGGGGACCCGCACAAGCGGUGGAGCAUGUGGUUUAAUUCGAAGCAACGCGAAGAACCUUACCAGGUCUUGACAUCCUUUGAAGCUUUUAGAGAUAGAAGUGUUCUCUUCGGAGACAAAGUGACAGGUGGUGCAUGGUCGUCGUCAGCUCGUGUCGUGAGAUGUUGGGUUAAGUCCCGCAACGAGCGCAACCCUUAUUGUUAGUUGCCAGCAUUCAGUUGGGCACUCUAGCGAGACUGCCGGUGACAAACCGGAGGAAGGCGGGGACGACGUCAGAUCAUCAUGCCCCUUAUGACCUGGGCUACACACGUGCUACAAUGGCGUAUACAACGAGUUGCCAACCUGCGAAGGUGAGCUAAUCUCUUAAAGUACGUCUCAGUUCGGACUGCAGUCUGCAACUCGACUGCACGAAGUCGGAAUCGCUAGUAAUCGCGGAUCAGCACGCCGCGGUGAAUACGUUCCCGGGUCUUGUACACACCGCCCGUCACACCAUGGGAGUUUGUAAUGCCCAAAGCCGGUGGCCUAACCUUCGGGAGGGAGCCGUCUA